GGACCGGGCAGGAGCCGGCCUCUGCGGAUCCAGUCCCCACGGCAACGGCCACAGCACCUGCUGCGGCCCAGGCUCGGGUCAAAGCCCCGAGGCAAGACACUGUGCUGAAUCCUCUCUACCUUACAGGGGACACUGGGCUCAGAGAGGUCAGGCCACUUGCCCAAGGCCACACAGGCUGGCAGUAACAAAGGAAGGACGGAUAUGAACGCAGGCCUCCCGUCCCCAAAUCCGGCCUGGGAUAUGCUGUGUGGCUGGUAUUCAGCAGGCGAUCUACAAAUGCUUUGGAGAUGCCCAGGAGCAAAGUGAGUGGAGACGGGCCUGUGGCCAGGUGGAUCGGCGGUCAGUGCCCCAGGGGAGGCCAGGGCUCGGCCCCCCCCCCACAGGAAGCGGGCUACAGGGGCCAGGCGCUGGGAGGGGACAGCUGGCUCCGGCCUCUUCCUCCUGUGACGAGGCGGGCGGGCCUGCAGGAGCCCACGGCGGGCAGGCAGCCAGGGUUGACGGGGCCACCCCACCUGUCACCCGGGACGUGCUCAUCAGGAGCUUGGGGACCUGGGACCACAGAGGCGGGUGGCGGGGGCGGCAGUGCCUGGCCCCCGUCACGUGAGCCCUGGUACCCACGGUCCCUGCUUCAGGGACACCGCCCGAGGUCCAGCCUGUGCUUGCAGAGUGACCACGGGACCCGGGCUCCGCCAGGCCUGCUGGCCCGCUCUGCUCCUCGCUGACCGUGUGGCCUCAAGCACGCCACUGCCCUCCAGAGCCUCGGGCUCCCAUCGCUGAGGUCAGGGUGCUGCCCUGGGCCGCAGUGCGCAGCGGGGACUCUGGAUUCUAAGCCACCCGCGUCCUGUGCUGUGUGGCCCCCGACAAGCAGCUUCGCCUCUCUGGUCUGCUCCCUUCAUCUGUUAAAGGCUCCGUGUUGACUGGAGUGAACCACCAGGUGACCCGGCUACCCCUCUCCUCGGGCCACACCCAGAGGACUUAAGGACAGCACACUGCAGGGACGCAGCCACGUCGACGUCCACACAGCCCGAUCCGCGAGAGCCGAACUGUGGAAGAACCUGGGGCCCUCAGUGACGGAAAGACACUGCGGUGUCUGCACACAGAGGACGUCACUCAGCACGGAGAGGGGACAGCGUGGCACUCGAGGUCAACGGAUGGCCCUGGAGAAGACCAUGGAGGUGCAGUGAGCCAACCCCAAACCAAAG
RNAcentral lists this long non-coding RNA (1202 nucleotides) under Marmota monax (woodchuck). Lineage: Eukaryota; Metazoa; Chordata; Mammalia; Rodentia; Sciuridae. The record is from RNAcentral.